GCUUCAAGACUUCUAGCCCCUAGAACUCGACUAGCCAUCAGUCGAUCAGAUUUCUUCAAGAAUCUGACUGGAUCCUCUUAGAACUUCCUCUAAAUUUCUAAAUUUCCUUCUUUAAACCUUCUCCACCCUUGUCUAGACCUGAUUAGGCUUUGUCUUAAGUGCCAAAGCCUUAUCCUAAAACUAAGAGGGGAUGUAAGAAAGAAAGGAGAGCAAUUGAGAGAAAAAUAGAAAGCAAAUUGAAUGUCUGGAACAUCCGACAUGCCACCUA
Molecule: long non-coding RNA, 268 nt
Filed under: Elaeis guineensis (African oil palm)
Lineage: Eukaryota; Viridiplantae; Streptophyta; Magnoliopsida; Arecales; Arecaceae
Description: long non-coding RNA (EGUI_LNC058830)
Source: RNAcentral